This is a non-coding RNA of Myodes glareolus (Bank vole), 2679 nucleotides long. The record is from RefSeq and is a predicted model, not a curated record. NCBI's taxonomy places the organism in Eukaryota, Metazoa, Chordata, Mammalia, Rodentia, Cricetidae.
GGGGUUCAUGGCCUCGAGACUGGUUAGGGAGCUUCCUUUUCUAGGAUGCUACCAGGGCUCGGGCAGAAGGUUCCUUUUCAAAGGACACGUGACAUAACCAUGUGGGGCUUGGGUCACUAGACAGCAGAGUUUUCUGUUGUUUGUUUCUCUUGGGAAACAGGCUUCUUUUCUUACGUUUUCAACUGCAGAAUAAAGUUGACACGGUUUUGGGCAGGCUAGGGCUAGCAUUCUGCUGCUGAGCCCUUGCACAGCAAUGGGAAGGAUCCAGAUUCUGGAACAAAGGAUAAAGUACAUUCCACCAGAAAUGGGACAAAGAGAAGAAAGCACACUGCUGCUGCUCCAGAGGACCUGAGUUGAGCUCCCAGCACCAACACUGAACACAGAUGUCAGAAACUCAAGUUCCAGGGAUCCAACACCCUCUUCUGGUCUCUAUGGGCAUUUCCAUGCAACAUGAACAUGGUGACACAGACCAGUAACUCCAGCACUCGGGAUGGAAGACCAGCAGCUACAUGACUCACCACACAGAGCCCACUGUGCUGCCCGACCGCAGAGCAGCCCACUCCAGGCUCACUCCUUAGAUGGUCUGCAGCUCUCAACUGAAUUCUUCCCUUUAGGAAGGCAAGAAUGGAGAGACUUCCCUUAACUUCUCCACACUGGGAAACUCACCCAGCACUCUGCUCACCACCUGGUGUGGAUCAUGAAUGUAAGGAGCAGCCAGCGAUGGCGCAGGGCUGGCUACAUGUCCUGUGACUGGGAUCCCUCAGUGCACACCUGUCACUCACACACAGCCUGUGUGAGCAGGACAAGACCUAUGUGGUGGUUCAUUUUCACCGUCAGUUUGACUGGAAACACCUCCAUAUGCCUCUGAGGGUGUUUCUAGAAAGGUGGCACCAUCCCAUUUGCUGGGAUCCUAAACAGAGUAAAAAGGGGAAAGCAAAAUGAGGGAGCACCCACACUCAUCUGUUUCUGGUGUGUGGGAGCCAGGUGACCAGCUGCCUCCAUGACUAACCACGACCGACUGUCCCCUCAAACCGUGACCCUCACUUGGUUUUAUCAGCUUAUACACAACAGCAAGCAGAAAAGUAACUAAUCCAGCACUGGAGCAGCUCCUAGGAGACAGAGGCAGCUGGCCACACACAGCAAGGGGCCAACACGUCCGUAGUCCUGUGGCUCAAACUCACAGCCAGAGAAGGGAGGGCCAUCCCCCAGGACCAUGCUCAGGGAUCCAAAAUGCCCUUCCUUCCCUGCCAAGUCUCUUCUGGGGUUUCAAGAAAGAAGGGGUAGGGAACCACAAAAUCAUAGGACUCUAUUGGCAGGAUUGCCUUUUGUCCAUGGACAAGCUCCAUGUCCUACAUUAUAUCCUGAAACAGGAGGUACAGGGCACCAUUACCCCAAACUCAUAUAUAACACCCCAGCAGCCAAGAGAACUGCGGCCCAAGCACUGAGGCCAGUUAGAUGCAAGCCUCAAGUCUUUGUGUUUCCAGGGUCUGGGCCAGAGGAGCUGGGGUGCAAGAGUGGGUCAGCCAAUCGUCUGUCCCCAAGAAUCCUCACCACCAGAGAAUCUCAAAGCAGAGCAGGGACCUCUGACUGAGAUAUCUUUGGAAAGAACUGCCACGCCAGGUGUGGGAGCAAACGCCUUUAAUUCGAGCACUUUGAAGGCAGAGGCAGGCAGUGGAUCUCUGAGUCAGAGGCCAGUCUGGUCUACAGAGCAAGUUCCAGUAUAGCCAGGGCUACAAAGAGAAACCCUGUCUCAAAACAAAAUAAACUCUAACUGCCAAAGAGCAGCAGGGCCUGGGCACUGCACUGAGGACGGGAGCUGGGAGUCCUCAGCUCUAAGCGCUCCAGGAUCGUCGGUUUCCUUUUCCUGUCUAGGCCCCAAAGACUCUCAUUCUGCUAACCCCCACACCCAUCCAUGCCCCAGUCAGGAAGACUAUUAACAUGGUCCCGGGUGGACCUGGAGACAUGCUGGCAAGAGUGGGUUCUUUGCCCCUUCUAUCACCAGGGUGACCACCCAGGAAUAGUUAUGUCCGCAAGCCCCUAGGAACACAAAAGGCUCAAGAUGCUACAGAAAAGAUUAAGUUAACUUGGAAAAAACAUGUUUUUCCAAUCAGCUAUAAAACCACCCAUGCCAGAAUUUUUGCAGAUCUAGAUGGCCACUUUGCCAUUACCCAAAAUUCCUCUCGUUCUUUCUUUCUCCACAAAUAAUUUCCCAAGGCUUUCAGGGCACCAGCACGAGAGGCCCACAGUGUGGGACGAACGGGACCCAGUGCUCCCAUCAGAAAGCUAGAGACUAAUGUUUCUUCUCCCAGCAACCCUGAAGUAGGAGGCGGGCACCAUGCUAGCUGCAUUCUCCAGUCCACCUCAGGAAGACCUCAUCUAUGCGCACAAUAGCACUGAUGUUUGAACUGGAUACGUGUUUUAUUACACACUCACUUUUGUGAAAAGGCCUUUACUUGUUGACAUUUCUUUCCUGAGCCAAGUCUGGGGCAGCCUGCCAGAGGGAAAGGCCAAGAUCCUGGAGGAGCCAUGGAGCUCGCUGGCCUUAAAGGGCCACACUACCAACCAAGCUAUAACAUGUAGAAAAGCAGAGCUGCUCCCGCCCACGACAGGUGAACAGGAUUCAUGCCCUAGCCAGUGCGCUGACACCAGGGUGAGUCUAAGCUGAGGACGAGCUCACAG